AAGGGUGAUUAUAGCAUAGGGGUACACGUCUUUCCAUUCCGAACAGAGCCGUUAAGCCCUAUUGCGCCGAUGGUACUGCGCUAUUCGUGGGAGAGUAGGUCAUCGCCCGUU
This is a ribosomal RNA of Bernardetia litoralis DSM 6794, 111 nucleotides long. The record is from Rfam. NCBI's taxonomy places the organism in Bacteria, Pseudomonadati, Bacteroidota, Cytophagia, Cytophagales, Bernardetiaceae.